Molecule: ribosomal RNA, 253 nt
Filed under: uncultured bacterium
Lineage: Bacteria
Description: partial 16S ribosomal RNA
Rfam family: Bacterial small subunit ribosomal RNA
Source: RNAcentral
UACGUAGGAUGCAAGCGUUGUCCGGAUUUACUGGGCGUAAAGCGCGCGCAGGCGGCACAUUAAGUAAGGUGCGAAAUAUCCCGGCUCAACCGGGAGGGUGCACUUUAGACUGAUGAGCUUGAGGUCGGUAGAGGGGGAUGGAAUUCCGCGUGUAGCAGUGAAAUGCGUAGAUAUGCGGAGGAACACCGAUGGCGAAGGCAAUCCCCUGGACCUGUACUGACGCUCAUGCACGAAAGCGUGGGGAGCAAACAGG